Molecule: ribosomal RNA, 1134 nt
Filed under: Triticum aestivum (bread wheat)
Lineage: Eukaryota; Viridiplantae; Streptophyta; Magnoliopsida; Poales; Poaceae
Description: partial small subunit ribosomal RNA
Source: RNAcentral
AUGGGGGACUCGGAGGAGUUCGCGGCGGAGCUGUUGGUGGCAAUGUCGAGGCGGAGCAACCUCGAUCCAGACGAGGGUGUCAACAAGGAUCAGCUCAAGGAGCUGUGGGAGGAGGUCACCGACCGCAAUUUCGACUCGCGCCUCCGCAUUUUCUUUGACAUAUGUGACAAGAACGGCGAUGGGAGGCUCACGGAAGACGAGGUCAAAGAGGUGGGGAGGGCUAUUAUAUUGAGCGCGUCGGCGAACAAGCUGAAGAUCGACGCCGCCGCCUACGCGCUACUGGUCAUGGAAGGGCUCGACUCUGACCACCGUGGCUACAUCGAGAGGUUGCUCAAGGUGUGCGUGUACGUGCUUGCUCCAUUGCAGAUGUGGCAGCUGGAGACGUUGCUGCGUGGGACGGGAAUUAUUAGAAAGGUUCGUUGGAACAAUGAGCAGAUGAAAUUUCUCAAGGUUGCAAUUUAUCCAGGAAAUGUGCUUUGUCUUGGCAUGCAUAAGCCACAGGGUUUCAAGUACAAGAGUGGGAUGCACCUGUUUAUCAAAUGUACUCAAGUCUCGACUUCUGAAUGGCAUCCCUUCCCCAUCACCUCUGCACCUGGAGAUGACAAUCUAACCGUGUAUAUCCGUACCGUUGGUAAUGGUGACUGGGCAUCUCAGCUCGUGAACAUUUUCGCAAAGUGCUGCCAGCCACCUGCCCGGAACGAAAUCGCCCGGUUUCCCAUGGUCUUUAUUGACGGUCCUUAUGGUGCACCGGGGCAGAAUUACAAGAAAUACGACAUUGUCUUAUUUAUCGGUCUUGGGUUCGGCGUCACUGCUUUUAUCAGCGUACUAAUAGAUAUCAUGAACAAUGUUUAUCCCACCGAUGAGGCGGAAAGCACACGUGGUUCUGAGGUCAAGAACAACUGGCCAGAAAGAGCUUACUUCUACUGGGUCACCAGAGAGCAAGAAUCCUUCGACUGGUUCAAAGGAAUCAUGAAUGGCAUUGCCUACCUCGACCGCAGCAAUGUAAUAGAGAUGCACAAUUACCUCACCAGCAUGUAUGAAGAAGGCGAUCCAAGGUCAGCGAUGAUCUCCGUGCUUCAGUCACUCCAACACGCCAAAAUUGGCGUUGAUGUCAUCUCUGGAAGCAAGAUUUGA